GGUCUCGCGAGAGUUCACAGCAAGAGUCGCCAGCAAGCUUUCAGUUUCCUCUUCUCGUGAGAACUGGUCGCAAUUGAUGACAAACAUACGUAUUGUUGCUCUUUUCUUUCGCUCAAGUGACCUUGUUCAAAUACCCGAGAGAAGGGGCGGGGGGGAUAAAAUAAAACUGGGUAACGUAUGAACGUCGGAACGUUUUCAAAGCCAUUGCAGGCAAAAGUGCAACUGUGCUCACCUGCACUGAUGAGGUCUCGAGCUGGGCUGAAGCCCCACCAGUUGAUGCAGCCCGCACCUUCUGACGGCCGUCCGGCGCUCAUCGUGUCCCGGGAGGACUUCGGUGGAGGCUCGGGGAGAGCACAAGCUCCUCGCCAAACAAACAACCGUGAUGAAAACAAAAAUAAUCGGGAAGAGACACACACCAAAGGAGGG
Long non-coding RNA from Hippocampus zosterae (dwarf seahorse), 426 nucleotides. RefSeq lists it as uncharacterized. The transcript is spliced from 2 exons. The record is from RefSeq and is a predicted model, not a curated record. NCBI's taxonomy places the organism in Eukaryota, Metazoa, Chordata, Actinopteri, Syngnathiformes, Syngnathidae.